AGUUUUGCAGGGUUGCAUCCAGCUGUUACAGAUUUGCUGUGCAAAUCCAUGCAAAACUGA
This 60-nucleotide microRNA precursor is filed under the name Callorhinchus milii (elephant shark). Its description in RNAcentral is "Cmi-Mir-19-P2a_pre stem-loop". It matches the Rfam family "mir-19 microRNA precursor family", at positions 11 to 71 of the family's 79-position model. Rfam says of the family: The hairpin precursors (represented here) are predicted based on base pairing and cross-species conservation -- their extents are not known. The record is from RNAcentral. Lineage: Eukaryota; Metazoa; Chordata; Chondrichthyes; Chimaeriformes; Callorhinchidae.